GAACGCGAAGAACCUUACCCGGGCUUGAAUUGCAGAGGAAGGAUUUAGAGAUAAUGACGCCCUUCGGGGUCUCUGUGAAGGUGCUGCAUGGUUGUCGUCAGCUCGUGCCGUGAGGUGUCGGCUUAAGUGCCAUAACGAGCGCAACCCCUCUCUUCAGUUGCCAUCAGGUUAAGCUGGGCACUCUGGAGACACUGCCACCGUAAGGUGUGAGGAAGGUGGGGAUGACGUCAAAUCAGCACGGCCCUUACGUCCGGGGCUACACACGUGUUACAAUGGCCGGUACAGAGGGACGGUGUAAUGCAAAUUGCAUCCAAUCUUGAAAGCCGGUCCCAGUUCGGACUGGGGUCUGCAACCCGACCCCACGAAGCUGGAUUCGCUAGUAAUCGCGCAUCAGCCAUGGCGCGGUGAAUACGUUCCCGGGUCUUGUACACACC
This 434-nucleotide ribosomal RNA is filed under the name uncultured bacterium. RNAcentral's name for it is "bacterial SSU rRNA". It matches the Rfam family "Bacterial small subunit ribosomal RNA", at positions 957 to 1391 of the family's 1533-position model. The record is from RNAcentral.